ACUAAGGCGAAGGGUGAGUUUGUGUGGCUGGAGGUCCUGCCACUCCCGGCGUGGUACCGGGGGGGCUCCCCCCACUCCGCUCCCCCGCCUGGGCCGCAGCCGGCCGGCUGAGCGCGAGGACACGCCCGGGAGGCGGCCGGGUCCGGGCGAGGAGCGCUGCGGGCAGAGCCGCGGGGCGGGGCAGCGAAUGGCCGGUGUUCGCUCCACCGGAGCCGGGAGCCGGCGGGGGGCAGCGCUCCGCGGGCACCAGCCGCCAGAGGGAGCGUGUUGGCCCGGGCGGGGCGGGUCACGGUGCUGCAGGGAGCGGAGGGACCGGCCCCGCAAGGCUCAUUCCCUGUCGGUGUCUGUCUCAGGUCGGGGGAUGUAGCCCGCCCCGUCCCUGGAGCCGCUGCCUGAUAACGGGACUGCAGGGAGCUGUGCUGGAGGCAGGGAGGGCAGAGAUUGGAGUUGAGAAUGAGAUGAGCCAGUCAUGAAGGACUAUAAGAACAUGGUAUACUUACAUCCACAAUAAGCCAUAUAUAAGCCCCGUGUAAGAAACCACAUGAUGGAGGUGAAGGUGGUUUGGGAGUCCGAUAAUGACACUUAUGACACAGGUGAGGAGCAUUCAGAUGACUCCAGUCAUUCCUCUGAGCGGGUUGGUCGCAAAUCUAGUCUCCAGCUGGAGUUAGACUUAGACUAUUCUCAACCAUGCAGUCCUGGUUGUAGCGCUGCUGGACCUUCAGGUAGGCAAGAACUCCCUGUAGAAUUGCAGUGUGAAGACGAGGAAACCUAUGAGACCUACUACCAGAAGCAAGGUGAGACUACAGCUGGGGUCUUUGUCACUUCCAACACCAACUUUGACCUGCAAUGUGAAGAUGAGGAUCUGGAGUUCUAUUCCUCUGAGGAACCUCAGGGAGGAUUAAGUGAGGAUGAUGAAAACAUCAUUCUUGUUGAUGCUUUUGAUGAGGAGGACCUGGAGCCCAUCUCUGGAGAAGCUUUGCCUUAUACGUGCAAGAAGUGUGGUGUCUCUUUUCAGGAUCUGGGUGAAUUACAAGAACACAACCAGAUCCACCUGACAGAGAAUUCAUACCGAUGCCCCAUCUGUGGCAAAGAGUUCUUCCAUGCGGCGAACUUGCGAAUGCACAAGCUCAUUCAUUCUAGUGACAGACCACACAAGUGUCCAGAGUGUGACAAGGGUUUCAUCUGUACAGCUGAUAUUUGGAGGCACCUACGCAAUGUGCACAAGAUUGAGCGCUCCAAGGGUGUUUUGGGAAAUGGCAUGGUUAGGAACCCAUGGUCAACAUUGCACCAAAACAAGCAUGGCAGUGGGGACGCUGACCAGCAGUGUUCAGAAAAUAAAAAGCCCGUGGGAGAAGAGUCUAAACCUUACAUCUGCUCGACAUGUGGCAAAGGUUUCCGUAAACCUAAUUUGCUGUCCAGACACAAGGUGAUCCACCGACAGGACAAACCACAUAAAUGUCAAGAAUGUGGGAAGUCCUUUGUUGAGCGGCUCAAGUUGAAAAGGCACCAGCAGAUUCACUCUGGAGAGCGCCCUUUCUACUGUGAGGAAUGUGGAAGGACUUUUACACAGCUGGUGACACUACAGUGCCAUCAGCGGACCCAUACUGGAGAAAAACCCUAUUCUUGUGCUUACUGUGGUCGUUGCUUCACAGUGUCUGCCACUCUAAGGAAGCAUGAGCGCACACAUAAAGUGGACAAAUCGUAGUAUUUAGGGCUCCAUGGUUGUGGUCACCGUUGUUUCCUGUUACCUGAACGAGACCUGCUCAAGACUGCUAGAGAAACUACCCCAACCUACACACACAGGUCAGUCCACAGUCCACAGCCCCCUUCUCCAACGACGGCCAGCAUAACUCUAAUAAGAAAACAUUGCCUCAUGAGGAACUCCAUGAUCUCCACAAGUAGUCUUUGUUGACUGGCACUGCACCUGUCCUCUGGAGUUACAAGAGGAAAAAGCUCCAUUUCCAUUAAAUAAUGAGGUCAGUGAAGUCAAAGGAUAUAUAUACGGAAGUGAAGUUUCUGGAAGGUACAGGGCAUUGUCAUAACUAGCUGGACUUUUCUGUGGGUGCAUCGAGUUGAGCUUUUUUCUAGGACUGAUGGGUUAAAUGGAGCCCUUCUGGAGUCCUGGACUCUGAACUGAUUGUGACUGCUCUCCAGCACUUGAUUUGGAGAUAUGUCUUUUUUUGCCUUUGCAAGGACUGCACAGUUCGUUUAAUCAGAGCUGGCCCAUCCGUACCUUCUCCCUGUUUAUUCUGUCAUGUUUUCUAAUGAAGUAUCUUUAUUUUGAAGAGAGGGAUCAUGUUGUUUGUAAAAAUCCAGGACUUUAUUAAACUGGAUAAUUAAUUCAGUUGCAUCCUUUAUGCAUGCACUUGCCUAUGGAUUUAUUGAUCUUUGAUGUGCUUACAUAACCCAUGUCCUAUAUAUGUAUAUUGAUAAACGGAGAGAGUGUUGUAUGGCUCACUGUGAUAGUGCAUAUGAAUAUGGUGGGUUGCCUGUAUGGAUUUGUGCCACUUGUGGCUAGGUGGAGAGCCUUUCCUCUUCCCAGCCACUGCAUUACAGUAAGAAAUGUCAGAAAGUUUAAAAUCAGAAAAUGCUAAUAAAAAUAAGGAGAAUACUCCUGAUUUUUACACUGUUAAUAUUUAGAUUUAAGGUUCCUCACUCUAGAAGAUGCAAUAUGCUAAGCAGUAUCUGUCUUUAUUAGAAAUUCUAGGGCACUUUUAAAGGGAUGGUGUCAACUUAAUUUUCUUUUCUAAACUGACUAAUUAGCCCCCCUUGCCAAAUUUUCAGCUACUGAACCCUUAAAAUAGCAUGCCUUUUAAAGUUUUUUAACAUGUUUUAAAUGUGGUUUCUGGUUUGCUAUGUGUUGGGGGGCGGUCCCAGAAGGGUCUUUUGGGUUGGCCUAAGAGGAACACCUCUCCUCCUGUAUCCUUUUACUUCACUUGUGUGCUGAUUGUUCUCUUUUUUUCAUUUCAGCUCUGCUUCUGCUGUUACUGCUAACCACCCAUUUUUUUUCAAAUUUCUGAGAAUGUUGUUCACAAAAACAGUGAACCUGACUCUCUCUACUUUGGGCAUUUGACAACACUUUGUGUAAACUAAACAAGUGUGAACAAUCAUUUUUAAGUCCUAUAAAUCUUGGGAGUUACUUGUAACUACAUACAGCAGUAGGAAGCCUGCCAAACAAUCGGUGAGCCCACUGGACAAUUUUGGUGCUUAAGGAACACUCAAGGAAGAUAAGGCCAUUGUGGAUAAGCUACAUGAAUUCUUUGCAUUGGUCUUCACUGCAGAGAAUGUUUAGGUGACAAAUCCGAGGAACUGUCCUGGCUUGACGUGUCAAUAGAGGAGGUUUGGGAACAAAUUGAUAAACAGUAAUAAGUCCUCAAGACCAGAUGGUAUUCACCAAAGAGUUCUGAAGAAACUCAAAUAUGAAAUAGCAGAACUACUGCAGAAAUGUGGGCUGUGAUUGGAGUUGAGAACGAGAUGAACCAAUCAUGAAGGACUAUAAGAACAUGGUAUACUUACAUCCACAGUAAGCCAUAUACACUCUCCAUAUAUGACACCACAGGAUGGACGAGGUGGACUGGGAGUCCGAUAACGACACUUAUGACACAGGUGAGGAGCAUUCAGAUGACUCCAGUCAUUCCUCUGAGCGGGUGGGUCGCAAAUCUAGUCUCCAGUUGGAGGUAGACAUAGACUACUCUCAACCAUGCAGUCCUGGUUGUAGCCCUGCUGGACCUUCAGGUAAGCAAGAACUCCCUGUAGAAUUGCAGUGUGAAGAUGAGGAAACCUAUGAGACCUACUACCAGAAGCGAGGUGAGACUACAGCUGGGGUCUUUGUCACUUCCAACACCAACUUUGACCUUCAAUGUGAAGAUGAGGAUCUGGAGUUCUACUCCUCUGAGGAACCUCAGGGAGGAUUAAGUGAGGAUGAUGAAAACAUCAUUCUUGUUGAUGCUUUUGAUGAGGAGGACCUGGAGCCCAUCUCUGGAGAAGCUUUGCCUUAUAGGUGCAAGAAGUGUGGUGUCUCUUUCCAGGAUCUGGGUGAAUUACAAGAACACAAACAUAUCCAUCUGACAGAGCAUUCAUACCAAUGCCCCAUCUGUGGCAAAGAGUUCUUCCGUGCUGCAAACUUGCGAAUGCACAAGCUCAUUCAUUCUAGUGACAGGCCACACAAGUGUCCAGAGUGUGACAAGGGUUUCAUCCGCACGGCUGAUGUCUGGAGGCACCUACGCAAUGUGCACAAAAUUGAGCGCUCCAAGGUAGUUUUGGGAAAUGGCAUGGUUAGGAACCCAUGGUCAAUAUUGCACCAAAACAAGCAUGGCAGUGGAAACACUGACCAGCAGUGUUCAGAAAAUAAAAAGCCUGGGGAAGAAGAGUCUAAACCUUACAUUUGUCCAAUGUGUGGCAAAGGUUUCCGUAAACCUAAUCUGCUGUCGAAACACAAAGUGAUCCAUCGAGAGGACAAACCAUAUAAAUGUCAAGAAUGUGGUAUGGCCUUUGUCCAACUACUGAGGUUGAAACGGCACCAACAGACUCACUCUGGAGAGCGCCCUUUCUAUUGUGAAGAGUGCGGAGGGACCUUCACAAGACUGGCAUCACUACAGCGCCAUCAGCGGAUCCAUACUGGAGAAAAACCCUACUCUUGUGCUUACUGCGGUCAUUCCUUCACAGAGUCAGGCACUCUAAGGAGGCAUGAGCGCACACAUAAAGUGGACAAAUCUUAGUGUUUAGGGCUCUAUGAUUGUGGUCACCAUUCUUUGCCUGUCACUAGAACAAGAACUGUUCAGUUAUCCUAGAGAGAUUGCUCCCAGCCCCCCCCCCCCCCACACACACAAACUGGUCCACAACUCUCUUCCUGAAGGAGGGCCAGUAUAAGUCUAUUAUGGAGAUAUUGCCUUGUAAGGAACUCCGUGAUCCCUGCAGGUAGUCAAUACUGACCGGCCUGGCACCUGUCCUGUGGAGUUACAAUAGGAAAAAGCUCCAUGUCCAUUAAAUAAUGAGGUCAGAGAAGUCAAAGGACAUAUAUGGAAGUGAAGCUCCUACAAGGUAGUGAGCAUUGUCAUAACUAGCUGGACUUUUCUUGGGGUGCAUUAAGUUGAGCUUUUCUCUAGGCCUGGUGUGUAAAAUGGAGCCCUACUGCAGUCCUGGGCUGAACUGAUUGUGACUGCUCUUCAGCACUGGAUUUGGAGAUCUCUCAUUGCAGUCUUUGCAAGGACUGCACAGUCCAUUUAGUCAGAGCUGGCCAAUCCAUACCUUCUCUCUGUGCAUUCUGUCAUGUUUUUAUUGAAGUAUGUUUGUUUGGGAGAGAAGUAUGUUGGCUGUAAAAAUCCAGAACCCUAAUAAAUUUGACAAUUAAUUAAA
Non-coding RNA from Caretta caretta (loggerhead turtle), 5355 nucleotides. Lineage: Eukaryota; Metazoa; Chordata; Testudines; Cheloniidae. The record is from RefSeq and is a predicted model, not a curated record.